Lacerta agilis (Sand lizard) is the source of this 850-nucleotide long non-coding RNA. RefSeq lists it as uncharacterized. The record is from RefSeq and is a predicted model, not a curated record. NCBI's taxonomy places the organism in Eukaryota, Metazoa, Chordata, Lepidosauria, Squamata, Lacertidae. The transcript is spliced from 2 exons.
CUAUCCAAGCUCGGGCGGGGGCAUAACCUGGAGUAAUGGUUCGUACUAGACAAUAGUACAAGAAACAGGGAGCACCACUUGUAUCUGAAAGUGUUCUACAUGUGAGAGAAAGGCAAAAUACCUAUUCUUCCAGUGUAUCUAGUGAAAUGCACUCAGCAAAGAAUUGAUGGUUGAUGUUUUCCAUGCAUCAUUUUCAAUCUGCUGCAAUAAUCUUCCACUUUUCUGCAAGGGAGUUUGCCCAUAUCUUCUCUUCAUUGCUUUGCUACUGAAGGCAGGAGACAGGUUCCAUCAUAAGGCUUGAGUGGGGAAGGUGAUAGGUUGUGUUUGAGAGCCACUAUGACAUCAGCAGCCCAACCUGACACCAGCCAAUAGCAUUCACUGCACAGGGAUGCAAGAUGGGAAGCAGGGGAGAGACCCUGAGUUAAAGGGAUGACAUGGAAGCAAGCAGUGUACAGAGGGAAGGUGAUGAAGUCAAGGAGGAAUGCAAGCAGUCUGGGAAAGAAGGUGUGGAAGAAGAAAAGCUGAAGGAGACAGAAGCUGGAUCAGGAGAAGCUUGGAGGCUUACAAAAUGAGAAUAAGCCAAUAUUUGAGAAAGAGAAGAGGUGGCAGGAGUUCGAGGGAAGAUGUGAAAUAAUGCAGCAGGCAGGAGGCAUGAAGGCAAAGAGAUGGGAGGGACCAGAGAAGAGAAGAUGACAUCAAAUUGCUUCAACAAAGCUGUUCCAGUGUGGGAAUCUUGUAUAUACACUGCAUCGUUCUCCAUUGCACACUCUCCAAUGCUGUGAAUGAAAGUGAAUUUCCAUGCUCUUGUAGAACUGGCUCAUGCUAAAUUUAAUUUGUUUUGUUCUUCGCA